Molecule: ribosomal RNA, 378 nt
Filed under: Burmoniscus sp. SK2011
Lineage: Eukaryota; Metazoa; Arthropoda; Malacostraca; Isopoda; Philosciidae
Description: partial 16S ribosomal RNA
Rfam family: Bacterial large subunit ribosomal RNA
Source: RNAcentral
UGGAUUCUAAAGAGCCGCAGUAUUCUAACUGUGCUAAGGUAGCAUAAUCAUUUGUUAUCUAAUUAAUAACUAGAAUAAAAGGAUUGACAAGAAUUUUACUCUCUUCUCUUUAAAAUAAAAAUUUAUUUAUAAGUAAAAAAGCUUAAAAAUUUUAGAAAGACGACAAGACCCUAGAACCUUAAAUCUUGUUUUACUGGGAAGGUAAAAAUUUAUUUCAAUUUGUAUUUAAACAUAAUGAAUGGUUUUUUUUUAACUUAUCUAAAAUAAAAAUAAGGUACUCUAGGGAUAACAGCAAAAUUUUUUUUUAGAGCUCUCAUCGACAAAAAAGAUUUUGACCUCGAUGUUGAAUUAUUAUUACUUUUAGAAGCAAAAUCUAAA